GCAGGGUUAGCUCAGUUAGCGUGGUGCUAAUAACGCCAAGGUCACAGGUUCAAUCCCUGCUCUCUGCA
This 68-nucleotide transfer RNA is filed under the name Pelecanus crispus (Dalmatian pelican). It matches the Rfam family "tRNA". From Rfam's summary of the family: Transfer RNA (tRNA) molecules are approximately 80 nucleotides in length. Their secondary structure includes four short double-helical elements and three loops (D, anti-codon, and T loops). The record is from Rfam by way of RNAcentral. Lineage: Eukaryota; Metazoa; Chordata; Aves; Pelecaniformes; Pelecanidae.